This 576-nucleotide ribosomal RNA is filed under the name Triticum aestivum (bread wheat). RNAcentral describes it as "partial small subunit ribosomal RNA". Lineage: Eukaryota; Viridiplantae; Streptophyta; Magnoliopsida; Poales; Poaceae. The record is from RNAcentral.
AUGCCCAACCUGAAGCCACCGGUUACGACAACGGCACGUGCGAUCGCGUACAGAGAUGAGAUCCUCAAGGCGCUGCCUCCCGGGAGCAGCUUUGUGCCGCUCAUGACGCUCUACCUCACGGACAGCACUAGCCCAGAGGAAAUCAAGGUCGCAAGGAAAGAGUGCUGUGGUUUUUGCUGUCAAGUUGUAUCCUGCUGGAGCAACUACUAACUCCCAAGAUGGCGUAACUGGAAAUGCUUGCCUGUCCUUGAAGAGAUGGUCAAGCAGGAAAUGCCUUUACUUGUUCAUGGAGAAGUCACAGAUCCUCAUGUAGACACCUUUGACCGUGAGAAGGUCUUCAUUGAGAAAAUAUUAGCACCACUUGUACAAAAACUUCCACAGCUGAAAAUCGUUAUGGAACAUAUCACUACGAUGGAUGCAGUGAACUUCGUAGAAUCAUGCAAAGAAGGUCAUGUUGCUGCAACAGUGACUCCACAGCAUCUCCUUCUAAACAGGAAUGCGUUGUUUCAGGGUGGUUUACAGCCUCACAAUUAUUGCUUGCCAGUGCUGAAGAGAGAAACCCACAGUAUGUUCUGA